Molecule: signal recognition particle RNA, 298 nt
Filed under: Cebus imitator (Panamanian white-faced capuchin)
Lineage: Eukaryota; Metazoa; Chordata; Mammalia; Primates; Cebidae
Description: Metazoan signal recognition particle RNA (ENSCCAG00000000269.1)
Rfam family: Metazoan signal recognition particle RNA
About the family: The signal recognition particle (SRP) is a universally conserved ribonucleoprotein. It is involved in the co-translational targeting of proteins to membranes.
Source: RNAcentral
GCCAGCACAGUGGUGUGUGCCUAUAGUCCCAGCUACUUGGGAGGCUGAGGUGGGAGGAUCGCUUGAGCCCAGGAGUUCUGGGCUGUAGUGCUCUAUGCCGAUUGGGUGUCUGCGCUAAGUUCGGCAUCAAUAUGGUGACCUCCCGGGAGCGGGGGACCAUCAGGUUGCCUAAGGAGGGGUGAACUGGCCCAAGUUGGAAACAGAGCAGGUCAAAACUCCCGUGCUGAUCAGUAGUGGGAUGGUGCCUGUGAAUAACCACUGCACUCCAGCCUGGGCAACAUAGCAAGACCAUGCCUCA